UACGUAGGGGGCAAGCGUUGUCCGGAAUCAUUGGGCGUAAAGCGCGUGUAGGCGGCUUGGUAAGUCCGGUGUGAAACCUUGGGGCUCAACCCCAAGCCUGCAUCGGAAACUGCCUCGCUCGAGUCCGGGAGGGGAGAGCGGAAUUCCUAGUGUAGCGGUGAAAUGCGUAGAUAUUAGGAAGAACACCAGUGGCGAAGGCGGCUCACUGGCCCGGUACUGACGCUGAGGCGCGAAAGCGUGGGGAGCAAACAGG
RNAcentral lists this ribosomal RNA (253 nucleotides) under uncultured bacterium. RNAcentral describes it as "partial 16S ribosomal RNA". It matches the Rfam family "Bacterial small subunit ribosomal RNA", at positions 524 to 776 of the family's 1533-position model. The record is from RNAcentral.